GUUUGAAUGGUUUAAAACUAGUCUUCUUUGGGGCCCUUUAGAGCUAGCAAUUUGAUGUGAGCCAAGGCUCUGUGUUGAAGACCGUAAUUUGACCUAUAAUGGUUUACUUUUAUAUAUUGUGACUUGGAUGGAGAGUUGUCUCAUUGGCACUCAUACCACAUCUUCUUAUGAAGAAAAAAGCUAUUCUUUUGAGGUCCUUAGGUUUCAUAGCUGCUCACGUUUCUACAUAUGUAUAAAUUCUUGACUUUGAAAUGUUUAGUUGUUAGCUAAUGUUCCUGUUGAAGGUAAAUCAAGAAAAGUGAAUCAGACAAACAUA
Molecule: long non-coding RNA, 316 nt
Filed under: Mytilus galloprovincialis (Mediterranean mussel)
Lineage: Eukaryota; Metazoa; Mollusca; Bivalvia; Mytilida; Mytilidae
Source: RNAcentral